RNAcentral lists this ribosomal RNA (254 nucleotides) under uncultured bacterium. Its description in RNAcentral is "partial 16S ribosomal RNA". It matches the Rfam family "Bacterial small subunit ribosomal RNA", at positions 524 to 776 of the family's 1533-position model. The record is from RNAcentral.
UACGGGGGGAGCAAGCGUUGUUCGGGUUUACUGGGCGUAAAGGGCGCGUAGGCGGCCACCGCAAGUCGACUGUGAAAUCUCCGGGCUUAACCCGGAAAGGUCAGCCGAUACUGCGGGGCUAGAGUGCAGAAGGGGCAACUGGAAUUCUCGGUGUAGCGGUGAAAUGCGUAGAUAUCGAGAGGAACACCUGCGGCGAAGGCGGGUUGCUGGGCUGACACUGACGCUGAGGCGCGAAAGCUAGGGGAGCGAACGGG